AUGGAGGUCGACGUGGCAGCAACUAGACUCGGAGUCGGAGGUGAUGUGUCUUCUCCUUCAUCGCUGAGCCUGCUCUGCGGUCUCGCUGCGCUGCUCGUCCUCCUGUGGGCGGUCUCCCGGGCCGCCGAGACAUGCUGGCUGAGGCCACGGCGGCUCAGCCGGGCGCUCAGGGCGCAGGGCCUGGGCGGCGCGGCGUACCGCUUUCCCGCCGGGGACCUCGCGGACAACGGCCGGCUCAACGAGGAGGCUCGGUCCAAGCCCAUGCCGCUGUGCCACGACAUUGUACCCCGUGUGGCGCCACACCUCGUCAACAUCGUCAAGGAACACGGCAACGUUUGCAUCACCUGGUUUGGACCAGUCCUAAGGAUGGUCAUAGCAGAGCCAAAGCUAGUGAGAGAGAUCCUAUCUGACAAGUCCGGCCAUUUCGAAAAAUUCACCAACAAACGUCUGGGAAAACUGAUAGCCCUUGGGCUUGCGAGCUACGACGGUGAGAAAUGGGCGAUGCACAGAAGAAUCUUAAACCCCGCUUUCCAUCUCGAAAAGCUCAAGAGCAUGUUGCCGGCUUUCUCGACAUGCUGCACCGAGUUGAUAAGCAGCUGGGAAAGUAAAUUAGCCGGUUCUGAUGGAUCACAUGAAAUAGACAUAUGGGAGGAUUUCCAGAACCUAACCGGAGACGUGAUCUCUCGCACGUCGUUCGGUAGCAGCUUCAUGGAAGGGCGAAGGAUCUUCCAGCUUCAGGCAGAGCAAGCAGAGCGAAUUAUCAAGGCCUUCCAGUAUAUGUACAUCCCAGGCUACCUCUUCUUUCCGACUGAAAACAACAAGAGGAUGAAGCAGAUCAACCGAGAGAUUGAAGGGCUCCUGAGAGGCAUCAUCGAGAAGCGGGAGCGCGCAAUGGAGAACGACGGGCUUGGCGGCGACGACUUGCUUGGCCUGAUGCUGCAGUCGAACAAGGAGAGGGGGACGUCAAGGAUGAGGAUGAGCACCGAGGAUGUGAUCGAGGAGUGCAAGCUCUUCUACUUCGCGGGGAUGGAGACCACGUCCGUGCUGCUCACCUGGACGCUGGUCGUCCUGGGCAUGCACCCCGAGUGGCAGGAUCGGGCCAGGGAAGAAGUCCUCAGCGUCUUCGGCAAGGACAAGCCCAACUUCGACGGCCUCAGUCGACUCAAAACGGUGACGAUGAUACUGUAUGAGGUGCUCAGGCUGUACCCACCGGCGGUUACGCUGAACCGGAAGACAUCCAGAGAGAUGCAGAUUGGAGGUAUCACCUACCCUGCGGGCGUGCUGCUGGAGCUGCCGAUAAUCAUGGUUCACCACAACCCGGAUGUAUGGGGGAAAGACGUGCUGGAGUUCAAGCCGGAGAGGUUUGCGGAGGGGAUCUCCAAGGCAACCAAGGACCAGCCGGUCUUCUUCCCGUUCGGCUGGGGCCCGAGGAUUUGCAUCGGCCAGAACUUCGCGAUGCUGGAAGCCAAGAUGGCGCUCAGCAUGAUCCUUCAGCGUUUCGAGUUCCAGCUCUCACCUUCCUACACGCAUGCGCCGUACACAGUCAUCACACUGCAUCCUCAGCAUGGAGCGCAGAUUAUACUCAAGAGUCUCUGA
Molecule: ribosomal RNA, 1596 nt
Filed under: Triticum aestivum (bread wheat)
Lineage: Eukaryota; Viridiplantae; Streptophyta; Magnoliopsida; Poales; Poaceae
Description: partial small subunit ribosomal RNA
Source: RNAcentral